CACGAAGUUAGCCGGGGCUUCUUCUGCGGGUACCGUCAUCAUCGUCCCCGCCGAAAGGGCUUUACAACCCGAAGGCCUUCACCACCCACGCGGCAUUGCUGGAUCAGGGUUGCCCCCAUUGUCCAAUAUUCCCCACUGCUGCCUCCCGUAGGAGUCUGGGCCGUGUCUCAGUCCCAGUGUGGCUGAUCAUCCUCUCAGACCAGCUACCGAUCGAAGCCUUGGUGAGCCGUUACCUCACCAACUAGCUAAUCGGACGCGGGCCCCUCCUAAGGCGAUAAAUCUUUCCCCCUCAGGGGACAUACGGUAUUAGCAGCAGUUUCCCGCUGUUAUUCCGUACCUCAGGGCAGGUUCCCACGCGCUACUCACCCGUGCGCCACUAUGGCCGAAGCCAUCGUUCGACUUGCAUGUGUUAGGCAUGCCGCCAGCGUUCGUUCUGAGCAGGAUCAAACUCU
RNAcentral lists this ribosomal RNA (452 nucleotides) under uncultured Rhodospirillaceae bacterium. Its description in RNAcentral is "partial 16S ribosomal RNA". The record is from RNAcentral. Lineage: Bacteria; Pseudomonadati; Pseudomonadota; Alphaproteobacteria; Rhodospirillales; Rhodospirillaceae.